AGUCGAACGAAGUAGCAAUACUUAGUGGCAGACGGGUGAGUAACAUGUAGGUAUCUGCCCUUUGGCCUGGAAUAACACGAGGAAACUUGUGCUAAUACCGGAUAAGUCUUUACGGAGAAAGCUUUAUGCACCAUUGGAUGAGCCUGCACUUGAUUAGUUUGUUGGUGGGGUAAUGGCCUACCAAGACUGUGAUCAAUAGCUGAUUUGAGAGGAUGAUCAGCCACAUUGGGACUGAGACACGGCCCAAACUCCUACGGGAGGCAGCAGUGGGGAAUCUUGCACAAUGGAGGAAACUCUGAUGCAGCGAUGCCGCGUGAGUGAAGAAGGCCUUUGGGUUGUAAAGCUCUUUCGUCGGGGAAGAAAAUGACUGUACCCGAAUAAGAAGGUCCGGCUAACUUCGUGCCAGCAGCCGCGGUAAUACGAAGGGACCUAGCGUAGUUCGGAAUUACUGGGCUUAAAGAGUUCGUAGGUGGUUGAAAAAGUUGGUGGUGAAAUCCCAGAGCUUAACUCUGGAACUGCCAUCAAAACUUUUCAGCUAGAGUAUGAUAGAGGAAAGCAGAAUUUCUAGUGUAGAGGUGAAAUUCGUAGAUAUUAGAAAGAAUACCAAUUGCGAAGGCAGCUUUCUGGAUCAUUACUGACACUGAGGAACGAAAGCAUGGGUAGCGAAGAGGAUUAGAUACCCUCGUAGUCCAUGCCGUAAACGAUGUGUGUUAGACGUUGGAAAUUUAUUUUCAGUGUCGCAGCGAAAGCGAUAAACACACCGCCUGGGGAGUACGACCGCAAGGUUAAAACUCAAAUGAAUUGACGGGGACCCGCACAAGUAGUGGAGCAUGUGGUUUAAUUCGAAGAUACGCGCAGAACCUUACCAACACUUGACAUGUUCGUCGCGACUCUAAGAGAUUAGAGUUUUCGGUUCGGCCGGACGAAACACAGGUGCUGCAUGGCUGUCGUCAGCUCGUGUCGUGAGAUGUUGGGUUAAGUCCCGCAACGAGCGCAACCCUCACUUUUAGUUGCCAUCAUUAAGUUGGGCACUCUGAAAGAACUGCCAGUGAUAAGCUGGAGGAAGGUGGGGAUGACGUCAAGUCCUCAUGGCCCUUACGUGUUGGGCUACACACGUGCUACAAUGGUAUCUACAACAGGAAGCAAAACUGCGAAGUUAAGCAAAUCCCGAAAAGAUACCUCAGUUCGGAUUGCACUCUGCAACUCGAGUGCAUGAAGCUGGAAUUACUAGUAAUCGUGGAUCAGCGUGCCACGGUGAAUGCGUUCCCGGGUCUUGUACACACCGCCCGUCACACCAUGGGAGUUGGUUCUACCUUAAG
RNAcentral lists this ribosomal RNA (1319 nucleotides) under uncultured Pelagibacterales bacterium. RNAcentral's name for it is "uncultured SAR11 cluster alpha proteobacterium 16S ribosomal RNA". It matches the Rfam family "Bacterial small subunit ribosomal RNA", at positions 60 to 1426 of the family's 1533-position model. The record is from RNAcentral. Lineage: Bacteria; Pseudomonadati; Pseudomonadota; Alphaproteobacteria; Candidatus Pelagibacterales.